RNAcentral lists this ribosomal RNA (247 nucleotides) under uncultured bacterium. RNAcentral describes it as "partial 16S ribosomal RNA". It matches the Rfam family "Bacterial small subunit ribosomal RNA", at positions 15 to 236 of the family's 1533-position model. The record is from RNAcentral.
GAUCCUGGCUCAGGACGAACGCUGGCGGCGUGCUUAACACAUGCAAGUCGAACGAGAGGACAAGAGAAGCUUGCUUCUUUUGGAAUCGAGUGGCAAACGGGUGAGUAACACGUAAACAACCUGCCUUCAGGAUGGGGACAACAGACGGAAACGACUGCUAAUACCGAAUACGCUUGGGAGACCGCAUGAUCUUCCAAGGAAAGGGUGGCCUCUACCUGUAAGCUAUCGCCUGAAGGGGGGUUUNCGU